This 28-nucleotide small RNA is filed under the name Bombyx mori (domestic silkworm). Its description in RNAcentral is "ovarian small RNA-19756". The record is from RNAcentral. Lineage: Eukaryota; Metazoa; Arthropoda; Insecta; Lepidoptera; Bombycidae.
UAAUGCAUGUAUGAUUCCUCUUUGGGCU